GGCGAACGGGUGAGUAACAUAUCGGAACGUAUCCAAUAAUGGGGGAUAACUAAUCGAAAGGUUGGCUAAUACCGCAUACGCCCUACGGGGGAAAGCAGGGGAUCUUCGGACCUUGCGUUAAUGGAGCGGCUGAUAUCUGAUUAGCUAGUUGGUGAGGUAAAGGCUCMCCAAGGCGACGAUCAGUAGCUGGUCUGAGAGGACGACCAGCCACACUGGAACUGAGACACGGUCCAGACUCCUACGGGAGGCAGCAGUGGGGAAUUUUGGACAAUGGGCGCAAGCCUGAUCCAGCCAUUCCGCGUGAGUGAAGAAGGCCUUCGGGUUGUAAAGCUCUUUCGCAAGGGAAGAAAACUUACUUUCUAAUAAAGAGUGAGGUUGACGGUACCUUGAUAAGAAGCACCGGCUAACUACGUGCCAGCAGCCGCGGUAAUACGUAGGGUGCGAGCGUUAAUCGGAAUUACUGGGCGUAAAGCGUGCGCAGGCGGUUUUGUAAGUCAGAUGUGAAAUCCCCGAGCUCAACUUGGGAACUGCGUUUGAAACUACAAGACUAGAAUAUGUCAGAGGGGGGUAGAAUUCCACGUGUAGCAGUGAAAUGCGUAGAGACGUGGGGGAAUACCAAUGGCGAAGGCAGCCCCCUGGGAUAAUAUUGACGCUCAUGCACGAAAGCGUGGGGAGCAAACAGGAUUAGAUACCCUGGUAGUCCACGCCCUAAACGAUGUCUACUAGUUGUUGGUGGAGUAAAAUCCAUGAGUAACGCAGCUAACGCGUGAAGUAGACCGCCUGGGGAGUACGGUCGCAAGAUUAAAACUCAAAUGAAUUGACGGGGGCCCGCACAAGCGGUGGAUUAUGUGGUU
This 854-nucleotide ribosomal RNA is filed under the name uncultured bacterium. RNAcentral's name for it is "bacterial SSU rRNA". It matches the Rfam family "Bacterial small subunit ribosomal RNA", at positions 97 to 946 of the family's 1533-position model. The record is from RNAcentral.